UACGUAGGUGACCAGCGUUGUCCGGAUUUACUGGGCGUAAAGAGCGCGCAGGCGGUCGUUCAAGUCGCGUGUGAAAGCCCCCGGCUCAACUGGGGAGGGUCACGCGAUACUGAUCGACUCGAAGGCAGGAGAGGGUAGUGGAAUUCCCGGUGUAGUGGUGAAAUGCGUAGAUAUCGGGAGAAACACCAGUGGCGAAGGCGACUACCUGGCCUGUUCUUGACGCUGAGGCGCGAAAGCUAGGGGAGCAAACGGG
This 253-nucleotide ribosomal RNA is filed under the name uncultured bacterium. RNAcentral's name for it is "partial 16S ribosomal RNA". It matches the Rfam family "Bacterial small subunit ribosomal RNA", at positions 524 to 776 of the family's 1533-position model. The record is from RNAcentral.